GAGUUUGAUCCUGGCUCAGGACGAACGCUGGCGGCGUGCCUAAUACAUGCAAGUCGAGCGGGUUUAUCCUUCGGGAUAAGUUAGCGGCGGAUGGGUGAGUAACACGUAGGUAACCUGCCUUUAAGACUGGGAUAACUAUCGGAAACGAUAGCUAAGACCGGAUAACUGGUUCUCUCGCAUGAGAGAAUCAUAAAACACGGAGCAGUCUGUGACUUAGAGAUGGGCCUGCGGCGCAUUAGCUAGUUGGUGAGGUAACGGCUCACCAAGGCGACGAUGCGUAGCCGACCUGAGAGGGUGAACGGCCACACUGGGACUGAGACACGGCCCAGACUCCUACGGGAGGCAGCAGUAGGGAAUCUUCCGCAAUGGACGCAAGUCUGACGGAGCAACGCCGCGUGAGUGAUGAAGGUUUUCGGAUCGUAAAGCUACUGUUGCCCUAGACGAACAGCAGGGAGAGGUAACUGCUCUCUGUGUGACGGUA
RNAcentral lists this ribosomal RNA (481 nucleotides) under uncultured bacterium. RNAcentral's name for it is "bacterial SSU rRNA". It matches the Rfam family "Bacterial small subunit ribosomal RNA", at positions 9 to 477 of the family's 1533-position model. The record is from RNAcentral.